UACGUAGGGGGCAAGCGUUGUCCGGAUUUAUUGGGCGUAAAGAGCUCGUAGGCGGUUUGGUAAGUCUGGUGUGAAAUCUCCACGCUCAACGUGGAGGGGCCACCCGAUACUGCCAUGACUGGAGUCCGGUAGAGGAGUGUGGAAUUCCCGGUGUAGCGGUGAAAUGCGCAGAUAUCGGGAGGAACACCCGUAGCGAAGGCGGCACUCUGGGCCGGUACUGAAGCAGAGGAGCGAAAGCGUGGGGAGCAAACAGG
RNAcentral lists this ribosomal RNA (254 nucleotides) under uncultured bacterium. RNAcentral describes it as "partial 16S ribosomal RNA". It matches the Rfam family "Bacterial small subunit ribosomal RNA", at positions 524 to 776 of the family's 1533-position model. The record is from RNAcentral.